RNAcentral lists this ribosomal RNA (421 nucleotides) under uncultured bacterium. RNAcentral describes it as "bacterial SSU rRNA". It matches the Rfam family "Bacterial small subunit ribosomal RNA", at positions 356 to 774 of the family's 1533-position model. The record is from RNAcentral.
GAGGAAUAUUGGGCAAUGCCCGCAAGGGUGACCCAGCAACGCCGCGUGGAGGAUGAAUGUUGUAAGAUUGUAAACUCCUGUUAGAGGGGAAGAAUAGUACCGGUUGGACCGGUAUAUGACUGUACCCUCAGAGAAAGCCCCGGCUAACUACGUGCCAGCAGCCGCGGUAAUACGUAGGGGGCAAGCGUUGUCCGGAUUUACUGGGUGUAAAGGGCGCGCAGGCGGGAUAAAAAGUCAGUGGUGAAAUCCAACAGCUUAACUGUAGAACUGCCUUUGAUACUUUUAUUCUUGAGUUCGGGAGAGAGAGACGGAAUUCCAGGUGUAGUGGUGAAAUACGUAGAUAUCUGGAAGAACACCCGUUGCGAAGGCGGUCUCUUGGUCCGACACUGACGCUGAGGCGCGAAAGCGUGGGGAGCAAACA